AAGUCGUAACAAGGUUUCCUUCCGGUUAAAAGUUUUAACCCGCCGAAGCCUGACAUGCCGACUUUAAAUCAGCAUGUAGUCUUGCCUCCGGGCAGGACAAUGCCGCUGAAAUGCUGUGAUCAACCACGGUUGUACCAGCAGCCCCUUACGGGGCCCACAGAUCAAGCCGCGGCGGUCCCACCUGGAGUACCCAGGUCAGACUUUAAUAUGACCGGUCUCGCCCGUGAUGGCGGAGAGUCGACGUUCCGUAGGUGAACCUGCGGAAGGAUCAUUACCGAGUAAGGGUCUUCUAGGCCCGACCUCCAACCCUUUGUUUACCAAACCACGUUGCUUUGGCGGGCCCGCCCAUUUCGGCCGCCGGGGGUCUCACCACCCCUGGCCCGUGUCCGCCAGUAGCCUUUCUAAAUUCUUUUUAAAUGUGUUUGUCUGAGUCUUAAAAUAAAAAUCGUUAAAACUUUCAACAACGGAUCUCUUGNUUCUGGCAUCGAUGAAGAACGCAGCGAAAUGCGAUAAGUAAUGCGAAUUGNAGAAUUCAGUGAGUCAUCGAAUCUUUGAACGCAUAUUGCGCCCUUUGGUAUUCCGAANGGCAUGCCUGUNCGAGCGUCAUUAUCAACCAUCANGCCUGGCUNGUCGUNGGACCCUGNUCGUCAAAAGACCGGUCCGAAAGAUAAUGGACGGNACCUGUCGGCCCUGGAUGCACGAGCUUUCACAGCACGCAUCGAAAGGUCGACGGCCCCGCCCUCAAAUCCCCAUUUCUCAGGUNGACCUCGNAUCAGGUAGGAAUACCCGCUGANCUUAAGCAUAUCAUANGCGGAGGAAAAGAANCCANCAGGGAUUACCNUAGUANCGGCGAGUGAAGCGGUAACAGCUCAAGUUUGAANUCUGGCCUUCACGGGCUCGAGUUGUAAUUUGUAGAGGAUGUUUCGGGCAAGGCUCUGGUUUAAGUUUCUUGGAACAGAACGUCAUAGAGGGUGAGAGUCCCGUCUAGAACCGAUAGCCGCGUCCAUGUGAAACUCCUUCGACGAGUCGAGUUGUUUGGGAAUGCAGCUCAAAAUGGGUGGUAAAUUUCAUCUAAAGCUAAAUAUUGGNCAGAGACCGAUAGCGCACAAGUAGAGUGAUCGAAAGAUGAAAAGCACUUUGAAAAGAGAGUUAAACAGUAUGUGAAAUUGUUAAAAGGGAAGCGCUUGCAACCAGACUUGCGUGUGGCGGUUCCCCCGGUCUUCUGACCGGGCUACUCCGUUACAUUCGGGCCAGCAUCGGUUCGGGUGGUUGGUUAAAGGUCUUGGGAAUGUAUCUACCUCCGGGUCGACUUAUAGCCCAGGGCGUAAUGCGGCCUACCUGGACCGAGGAACGCGCUUUUGCUCGGAUGCUGGCGUAAUGGUUGUAAGCGGCCCGUCUUGAAACACGGACC
Molecule: ribosomal RNA, 1411 nt
Filed under: uncultured fungus
Lineage: Eukaryota; Fungi
Description: eukaryotic LSU rRNA
Rfam family: Eukaryotic large subunit ribosomal RNA (bases 763-1411)
Source: RNAcentral